GACGAACGCUGGCGGCGUGCUUAACACAUGCAAGUCGAACGGUGAAGGUGGAGCUUGCUCCGCCGGAUCAGUGGCGAACGGGUGAGUAACACGUGGGCAACCUGCCCCUGACUUCGGGAUAACUCCUCGAAAGAGGUGCUAAUACCGGAUACGAAUCCUGCAGGCAUCUGCGGGAUUGGAAAGUUUUUCGGUCAGGGAUGGGCCCGCGGCCUAUCAGCUUGUUGGUGAGGUAGUGGCUGACCAAGGCGACGACGGGUAGCCGGCCUGAGAGGGCGACCGGCAACACUGGGACUGAGACACGGCCCAGACUCCUACGGGAGGCAGCAGUGGGGAAUAUUGCGCAAUGGGCGAAAGCCUGACGCAGCAACGCCGCGUGAGGGAUGACGGCCUUCGGGUUGUAAACCUCUUUCAGCAGGGAAGAAGCGAAAGUGACGGUACCUGCAGAAGAAGCACCGGCUAACUACGUGCCAGCCGCCGCGGUAA
This 483-nucleotide ribosomal RNA is filed under the name uncultured bacterium. Its description in RNAcentral is "partial 16S ribosomal RNA". It matches the Rfam family "Bacterial small subunit ribosomal RNA", at positions 28 to 523 of the family's 1533-position model. The record is from RNAcentral.